Long non-coding RNA from Calidris pygmaea (Spoon-billed sandpiper), 1580 nucleotides. The record is from Ensembl. NCBI's taxonomy places the organism in Eukaryota, Metazoa, Chordata, Aves, Charadriiformes, Scolopacidae.
UGCUUGCUAUCUAGUUGUCUCAAACACUCUUUUAUUUGAAGUAUUCAGGUAGUGCUGAGUGAAAGGUAUUUAUUUUUUCAUUUGCUUGCAGGUAAGACUGGAUUAUUGCAUGAUGCCUUGCAUUAGAAUUGGAGCUAUAAAGGAUGCUGCCGCCUGCGCGCUGAGCCCUGUGUGCUGAGAUGCCUGAGGAUACGAUGUGCCUGAUGUGCCAACCCUUCUGAGCUCCUCUUGCACGUCGCCUUCCCUCUGCUGUCCCCAGCCCCGGCAGGAGCCCAGGAAACUACUCGUGGUGUGAGCAUCAGCAAUGCCACGGCACCGUCUUCAGGCUCCGGGACCUGCUCUGCUGUCACCCAUCUCUUCAGAGUGUGUUUAAGGCACCCAAACUGCUGGUACCAAGGCGAGCACAGCUCUACCUCACCCGGAAUUUUACUCUCAGCCCCGUUAUUGGUGUUCCGACACGUGUUGGCUGGACAGUUGCUGUAGGACAGAUCAAGCAGUUCUUGUCUGAAAAUCUGGAGUCCAGUGUAACCAAGUGGAAAGUGAAGAUAUUUGCUGACGUAGAAAUAUUUUUAACAGGGAAAUGCAGCUGAAAAACUGAGAGCUUUUCAUGAGGUCUCAAAUGAAUGUAGCCCAGUCUUCUUCCAGAAAAAAAUGGUCAUCACCUGCAAAGCUUUCCCAGAGAGAUGAGAUGAGAAGGUAAUGCAAAGAGAAUAGAAAUACAUUUUGCGUGUUGAUUAAGUUUAUUUGUGAAGCAUUGUAUAUGACAUUAAUUGACACGUUAAAGCUCUCAAACGUGGCAUCAUCAGGCAUUCCUAAGACUUACAGUUAGUGAUUGUGGCCUAAAAUAUCCUUGAACUGAGCAAUUUUGCUGUUGUUUUCAUUUUGGUAUUUUCUGAAACUAUCCACCGGCUUCAGUCUGAAGUAAAGCUCUAAUUUUGAACUGCUGUUGCUUAUUCAUAGUAAUUUUCAACUCUUUUUGGCUUUUUCCUUGUGUACAAUAGCUUGCCCUCAAAAAAUAGCUGUCUGCAACCAGGAGGUUCUACUGAAGCUGGAAAUUGUCCAUGAAAAUUUGAACUGGGAAACAGUGGCUGAUGGUUUGGAGUGUCAGUUGAACAGUGUUCAUCAUGGUCACAAGUUAUAAACCCAAAUUAAACAUUUUGUGAAAUUUCUCUCGAGAAUAGUUGCACAAACCUAGUUGUGCCGUGUAAAAUUCAGCUCAGUCACCCAAACCUCUGGUGAUCUUUCAGCUGAGUUCAGGUGACACACAAAUUGGUGCCUUUAUAUAUAUACUCUGUGUAACCUGUGUUUCCUUUGGUAAAGAUACUUUUAAAGAUUAAGUAUUUUGUGAAAGAUAACUGCCCACAUGCAAGGUGAUUGUAACAGAAAAGUUAAACUGUAGUAUCUAUUUAGUAAUAAGGGUAAACUUUAUCAAAAAAGUAAGUCUUUUAUAAUUAGAAGUAAUCAGUGUACUUCAUGUAACCUGGCAGCAAAUGACUGUGCACCCACAGGGCUACUUAGGUUCAAAACCAAUUUGGUAAUCUUCCAACUGGAAAUUACAAUAAAUUAAGGUCAUUUCUCCA